Molecule: ribosomal RNA, 307 nt
Filed under: uncultured bacterium
Lineage: Bacteria
Description: bacterial SSU rRNA
Rfam family: Bacterial small subunit ribosomal RNA
Source: RNAcentral
GACGAACGCUGGCGGCGUGCCUAACACAUGCAAGUCGAACGGAAGUAAGUGCUUCGGUAUUUACUUUAGUGGCGAACGGGUGAGUAACGCGUGAGGAACCUGCCUUUCAGUGGGGGACAACAGUUGGAAACGACUGCUAAUACCGCAUAAUGCAUCGGGGUCGCAUGGCUCUGAUGCCAAAGAUUUAUCGCUCUUAGAUGGACUCGCGUCUGAUUAGCUAGUUGGUGAGGUAACGGCCCACCAAGGCGACGAUCAGUAGCCGGACUGAGAGGUUGGCCGGCCACAUUGGGACUGAGACACGGCCCAG